RNAcentral lists this ribosomal RNA (508 nucleotides) under uncultured bacterium. Its description in RNAcentral is "partial 16S ribosomal RNA". It matches the Rfam family "Bacterial small subunit ribosomal RNA", at positions 29 to 523 of the family's 1533-position model. The record is from RNAcentral.
AGUGAACGCUGGCGGUAGGCCUAACACACGCAAGUCGAACGGCAGCACAGUAAGAGCUUGCUCUUAUGGGUGGCGAGUGGCGGACGGGUGAGGAAUACAUCGGAAUCUACCUUUUGGUGGGGGAUAACGUAGGGAAACUUACGCUAAUACCGCAUGCGCCCUUCGGGGGAAAGCCGGGGACCUUCGGGCCUGGCGCUGAUAGAUGAGCCGAUGUCGGAUUAGCUUGUUGGUGAGGUAAUGGCUCACCAAGGCGACGAUCCGUAGCUGGUCUGAGAGGAUGAUCAGCCACACUGGAACUGAGACACGGUCCAGACUCCUACGGGAGGCAGCAGUGGGGAAUAUUGGACAAUGGGCGCAAGCCUGAUCCAGCCAUACCGCGUGGGUGAAGAAGGCCUUCGGGUUGUAAAGCCCUUUUGUUGGGAAAGAAAAGCAUUCGGUUAAUACCCGGGUGUUCUGACGGUACCCAAAGAAUAAGCACCGGCUAACUUCGUGCCAGCAGCCGCGGUAA